CUCAGAUUGAACGCUAGCGGGAUGCCUUACACAUGCAAGUCGAACGGCAGCACGGACUUCGGUCUGGUGGCGAGUGGCGAACGGGUGAGUAAUGUAUCGGAACGUGCCCAGUAGCGGGGGAUAACUACGCGAAAGCGUAGCUAAUACCGCAUACGCCCUACGGGGGAAAGCAGGGGAUCGCAAGACCUUGCACUAUUGGAGCGGCCGAUAUCGGAUUAGCUAGUUGGUGGGGUAACGGCUCACCAAGGCGACGAUCCGUAGUUGGUUUGAGAGGACGACCAGCCACACUGGGAUUGAGACACGGCCCAGAUUCUUACGGGAGGCAGCAGUGGGGAAUUUUGGCCAAUGGGGGAAACCCUGAUCCAGCCAUCCCGCGUGUGCGAUGAAGGCCUUCGGGUUGUAAAGCACUUUUGGCAGGAAAGAAACGUCGCGGGUUAAUACCCCGCGAAACUGACGGUACCUGCAGAAUAAGCACCGGCUAAUUACGUGCCAGCAGCCGCGGUAAUACGUAGGGUGCAAGCGUUAAUCGGAAUUACUGGGCGUAAAGCGUGCGCAGGCGGUUCGGAAAGAAAGAUGUGAAAUCCCAGAGCUUAACUUUGGAACUGCAUUUUUAACUACCGGGCUAGAGUGUGUCAGAGGGAGGUGGAAUUCCGCGUGUAGCAGUGAAAUGCGUAGAUAUGCGGAGGAACACCGAUGGCGAAGGCAGCCUCCUGGGAUAACACUGCCGCUCAUGCACGAAAGCGUGGGGAGCAAACAGGAUUAGAUACCCUGGUAGUCCACGCCCUAAACGAUGUCAACUAGCUGUUGGGGCCUUCGGGCCUUGGUAGCGC
RNAcentral lists this ribosomal RNA (830 nucleotides) under Achromobacter sp. RNAcentral describes it as "bacterial SSU rRNA". It matches the Rfam family "Bacterial small subunit ribosomal RNA", at positions 23 to 849 of the family's 1533-position model. Lineage: Bacteria; Pseudomonadati; Pseudomonadota; Betaproteobacteria; Burkholderiales; Alcaligenaceae. The record is from RNAcentral.